Molecule: long non-coding RNA, 544 nt
Organism: Monomorium pharaonis (pharaoh ant)
Lineage: Eukaryota; Metazoa; Arthropoda; Insecta; Hymenoptera; Formicidae
Exons: 2
Source: RefSeq, a predicted model, not a curated record
AUUACAUGAGGGAGAGAUUCUUAGCAUCGAAAUUAUCACUUAACACUCAAGAACCGAUCUCGAGUUUAUCGAAAUACUUUCGCAACUAGGAGCCCACGAUUCAUAAAAUAUUGAAUCUACGGGAAACCACAAGUUUCCAGUUGUCACGCCGAUAUGCGAUAUAAUUCAAAGGAGUGUUUCUUCUUCACGUUCCAAAACUCAUCGAAAAACAUGAUCACCAACGAUCGAGAUACCACAAAUCAUGCGCGUUCCACUCCGGCACUUUUGGCGUGCGCGUUUCAGGAAAUGCUAUUAGCGCUAUCAGUAUAUCUUUUCAUUGCUCAUUAAACAAUAGAAUAAGGAUAGACUGAUGUUGAUAGCGCUAAUAGCAUCUUUUCGAACAUAUUACCUUUGAUCUCCAUUAUCUCAAUAUGGAUAACCACAUGAUAUUUGCCAUGUAAAAUUCAGGUCCCCGAAGACGAAUGUUCUAUAAUAAGUAAUAAAUGUAGUUACUCUUGUUUUAUUAAAUUAUUUCUUUAAAAAAUUUCUUAAAAACACGAAAUAA